This 215-nucleotide long non-coding RNA is filed under the name Solanum tuberosum (potato). RNAcentral describes it as "long non-coding RNA (STUB_LNC011361)". Lineage: Eukaryota; Viridiplantae; Streptophyta; Magnoliopsida; Solanales; Solanaceae. The record is from RNAcentral.
GGGUUAUGAGACUUCUAAAUUUUUACUCUUAGAAAUUGAGCAUCUUUAAAUGACAUGUUUAACAUAUUUUUGUUAGUUUUUAUUAUUCUCUCAAUCUCAAAAUCAGUAUAAAGAAUUUUGUAUACUACUAGCCUACUUAGAAGGAUAUUUGGAAGUAAGCCUUCUUAAUAUGUGUGAUUUAUAUAAUUCAGAAAAUAAGAUAUGUUACCUGCUAC